GAGUUUGAUCCUGGCUCAGAUUGAACGCUGGCGGCAUGCCUUACACAUGCAAGUCGAACGGCAGCACGGGAGCAAUCCUGGUGGCGAGUGGCGAACGGGUGAGUAAUAUAUCGGAACGUGCCCAGUCGUGGGGGAUAACGCAGCGAAAGCUGUGCUAAUACCGCAUACGAUCUAUGGAUGAAAGCGGGGGAUCGCAAGACCUCGCGCGAUUGGAGCGGCCGAUAUCAGAUUAGGUAGUUGGUGGGGUAAAGGCUCACCAAGCCAACGAUCUGUAGCUGGUCUGAGAGGACGACCAGCCACACUGGAACUGAGACACGGUCCAGACUCCUACGGGAGGCAGCAGUGGGGAAUUUUGGACAAUGGGCGCAAGCCUGAUCCAGCAAUGCCGCGUGCAGGAUGAAGGCCUUCGGGUUGUAAACUGCUUUUGUACGGAACGAAAAGGCUCUGGUUAAUACCUGGGGCCCAUGACGGUACCGUAAGAAUAAGCACCGGCUAACUACGUGCCAGCAGCCGCGGUAAU
This 520-nucleotide ribosomal RNA is filed under the name uncultured bacterium. Its description in RNAcentral is "bacterial SSU rRNA". It matches the Rfam family "Bacterial small subunit ribosomal RNA", at positions 9 to 524 of the family's 1533-position model. The record is from RNAcentral.